RNAcentral lists this ribosomal RNA (239 nucleotides) under Globigerinita uvula. RNAcentral describes it as "partial 18S ribosomal RNA". It matches the Rfam family "Eukaryotic small subunit ribosomal RNA", at positions 1203 to 1410 of the family's 1831-position model. The record is from RNAcentral. Lineage: Eukaryota; Foraminifera; Rotaliida; Globigerinitidae.
ACGCGGGAAAUCUUACCGGGUCCGGACACACUGAGGAUUGACAGGCAAUAUAUGUGACUCUUCGGAGUUUGCAUUGUUAAAUAUGCUAGUCCUUUCAUGAUUAUGUGAUAGGUGGUGCAUGGCCGUUCUUAGUUCGUGGAGUGAUCUGUCUGCUUAAUUGCGUUUCAAAUUACUUAUAAGGUAGCAAUACGCGAUGAAACUUUCAAUAGUCCUCCGGAUUCACUUGAGUCUCUCGCUUC